AAGAGAAGGCGAGGUGAACGCGGAUGGCCCUACGGGGUCGUCUGAGGAAAGUCCGGGCUCCCCAAUGGCCAGGCCUGCUGGUUAAUGACCAGUGCGGGCGACCGUGAGGACAGUGCCACAGAAACACACCGCCGAUGGCCCCAUGGGUUCGCCCGGGCACAGGUAAGGGUGCAAAGGUGCGGUAAGAGCGCACCAGCAGCAUCGAGAGGUGCUGGCUCGGUAAACCCCGGCCGGGAGCAAGGCCCAGGAGCAACGGUUGGCCAUGGCACCAGCUCCGCUGCAACAGCGCCGCUAGAGGUUGUCGGCAACGACGAUCCCAGAGAGAUGUUCACCCCCGCAAGGGAACAGAACCCGGCUUACGUCCUUCUCUUCUUC
Molecule: RNase P RNA, 375 nt
Filed under: Aphanocapsa feldmannii 277cV
Lineage: Bacteria; Bacillati; Cyanobacteriota; Cyanophyceae; Chroococcales; Microcystaceae
Also listed under: 2 other names
Description: RNase P RNA component class A
Rfam family: Bacterial RNase P class A
About the family: Ribonuclease P (RNase P) is a ubiquitous endoribonuclease, found in archaea, bacteria and eukarya as well as chloroplasts and mitochondria. Its best characterised activity is the generation of mature 5'-ends of tRNAs by cleaving the 5'-leader elements of precursor-tRNAs. Cellular RNase Ps are ribonucleoproteins.
Source: RNAcentral